UACGUAGGUGGCAAGCGUUGUCCGGAUUUACUGGGCGUAAAGCGCCCGCAGGCGGCUUGUUAAGUUCAAGGUGAAAUCUCCCGGCUUAACUGGGAGGGUGCCUCGAAAACUGGCAGGCUUGAGGUGAGGAGAGGGAUGCGGAAUUCCAGGUGUAGCGGUGAAAUGCGUAGAUAUAGGAAGGAACACCAGUGGCGAAGGCGACCACCUGGACUGAUACUGACACUGAGGUGCGAAAGCGUGGGGAGCAAACAGGAUUAGAAACCCGGGUAGU
RNAcentral lists this ribosomal RNA (271 nucleotides) under uncultured bacterium. Its description in RNAcentral is "partial 16S ribosomal RNA". It matches the Rfam family "Bacterial small subunit ribosomal RNA", at positions 524 to 794 of the family's 1533-position model. The record is from RNAcentral.